AGCAGGAUAGUAGUCAUGGAAGUUGGAAUCUGCCAAGGAGUAUGCAACAACUCACCAGCCAA
Molecule: ribosomal RNA, 62 nt
Organism: Chlorocebus sabaeus (green monkey)
Lineage: Eukaryota; Metazoa; Chordata; Mammalia; Primates; Cercopithecidae
Rfam family: Eukaryotic large subunit ribosomal RNA
Source: Rfam